RNAcentral lists this ribosomal RNA (128 nucleotides) under uncultured eukaryote. RNAcentral describes it as "partial small subunit ribosomal RNA". It matches the Rfam family "Eukaryotic small subunit ribosomal RNA", at positions 1651 to 1778 of the family's 1831-position model. The record is from RNAcentral.
CCCUGCCAUUUGUACACACCGCCCGUCGCUACUACCGAUUGGACGUACGAGUGAGGUUUCUGGACCGGCUCCGUGGGUGCUUUGCAGCCAUCGGAAUUGGAAAGUUAACCAAAUUUGAGCGUCUAGAG